This 497-nucleotide ribosomal RNA is filed under the name uncultured bacterium. Its description in RNAcentral is "partial 16S ribosomal RNA". It matches the Rfam family "Bacterial small subunit ribosomal RNA", at positions 28 to 507 of the family's 1533-position model. The record is from RNAcentral.
GAUGAACGCUGGCGGCGUGCCUAAUACAUGCAAGUCGAGCGAACGGACGAGAAGCUUGCUUUUCUGAUGUUAGCGGCGGACGGGUGAGUAACACGUGGAUAACCUACCUAUAAGACUGGGAUAACUUCGGGAAACCGGAGCUAAUACCGGAUAAUAUUUUGAACCGCAUGGUUCAAAAGUGAAAGACGGUCUUGCUGUCACUUAUAGAUGGAUCCGCGCUGCAUUAGCUAGUUGGUAAGGUAACGGCUUACCAAGGCAACGAUGCAUAGCCGACCUGAGAGGGUGAUCGGCCACACUGGAACUGAGACACGGUCCAGACUCCUACGGGAGGCAGCAGUAGGGAAUCUUCCGCAAUGGGCGAAAGCCUGACGGAGCAACGCCGCGUGAGUGAUGAAGGUCUUCGGAUCGUAAAACUCUGUUAUUGGGGAAGAACAUAUGUGUAAGUAACUGUGCACAUCUUGACGGUACCUAAUCAGAAAGCCACGGCUAACUACGUG